This 253-nucleotide ribosomal RNA is filed under the name uncultured bacterium. RNAcentral describes it as "partial 16S ribosomal RNA". It matches the Rfam family "Bacterial small subunit ribosomal RNA", at positions 524 to 776 of the family's 1533-position model. The record is from RNAcentral.
GACGAAGGAUGCAAGCGUUAUCCGGAUUCAUUGGGUUUAAAGGGAGCGUAGGUGGCCUUAUAAGUCAGUGGUGAAAUCUCUCGGCUUAACCGAGAAAUUGCCAUUGAUACUGUAGGGCUUGAGUAUAGUUGCCGUUGGCGGAAUAUGACAUGUAGUGGUGAAAUACAUAGAGAUGUCAUAGAACACCGAUUGCGAAGGCAGCUGACGAAACUAUAACUGACACUGAGGCUCGAAAGUGCGGGGAGCAAACAGG